Molecule: ribosomal RNA, 253 nt
Filed under: uncultured bacterium
Lineage: Bacteria
Description: partial 16S ribosomal RNA
Rfam family: Bacterial small subunit ribosomal RNA
Source: RNAcentral
UACGGGGGGGGCAAGCGUUGUUCGGAAUUACUGGGCGUAAAGGGCUCGUAGGCGGCCAACUAAGUCAGACGUGAAAUCCCCAGGCUCAACCUGGGAACUGCGUCUGAUACUGGAUGGCUUGAAUCCGGGAGAGGGAUGCAGAAUUCCAGGUGUAGCGGUGAAAUGCGUAGAUAUCUGGAGGAAUACCGGUAGCGAAGGCGGCAUCCUGGACCGGCAUUGACGCUGAGGAGCGAAAGCCAGGGGAGCAAACGGG